Molecule: microRNA precursor, 181 nt
Filed under: Paramuricea clavata
Lineage: Eukaryota; Metazoa; Cnidaria; Anthozoa; Malacalcyonacea; Plexauridae
Source: RNAcentral
GCCGCUCCCACAAACGUCUACGACCGCACCUACAUAGUUGUGUAUAUUUACAAUUCUAAUUUUGUACAGCCAAUCAGGUUCUUGGUAACAAUUACAAUUAAACGUCGAUUGGCUGUUUAAAAUUAGAAUUGUAAACAUGCAAAAAUAUGUAGGCGCGGCCGUAGACGUUUGUGGGAGUGGU